UAUAUACAUUCAGAAGUGCACAGAAGAUGUGUUUUACGUACAUGGAUUAGGUGGCUGCUUAAGGACACCCAUGCCGGCUGGAAAAUGAUGUUUCCCAAGAGUAAAGUGUGGAAGAUCGGAGGUCCUAUUAAAAUCACCUUUGGGAAGAGCUCUUCUUCAGAAGACUUCAGGUUCUUGGCUGGAAGGCCUUGAAAACAUCUGGAAAAAGGCCCCCAAAUAAUCCAGUGAACAUGAGUUUCAGGUACCCACAGUCUGGAAACAGAUGAUCCUCCUUCUGAUAAGUCAUCAGAAGGUCAAUAGUAGCCUAAUGCUUCAUCACAACGUCUACCUCAUUCAUCUUGCUUCAUCUCAUCUCAUAGACAUUUUAUCAUCUCGCAUCAUCACAAGAAGGAUGAGUACUGUAUAAAAUUAUUUUGAGAGAGAAAGACCACCUUCACAUAGCUUUUAUUAUAGCAUAUCGUUAUAAUUAUUCUAUUUUAUUAUUAGUUACUGUUGUUAAUCUCUCA
Molecule: long non-coding RNA, 506 nt
Organism: Suricata suricatta (meerkat)
Lineage: Eukaryota; Metazoa; Chordata; Mammalia; Carnivora; Herpestidae
Exons: 3
Source: RefSeq, a predicted model, not a curated record